RNAcentral lists this ribosomal RNA (238 nucleotides) under uncultured bacterium. RNAcentral's name for it is "partial 16S ribosomal RNA". It matches the Rfam family "Bacterial small subunit ribosomal RNA", at positions 15 to 229 of the family's 1533-position model. The record is from RNAcentral.
GAUCAUGGCUUAGGACGAACGCUGGCGGCGUGCUUAACACAUGCAAGUCGAACGAAGAGCGAUGGAAGCUUGCUUCUAUCAAUCUUAGUGGCGAACGGGUGAGUAACGCGUAAUCAACCUGCCUUUCAGAGGGGGGACAACAGUUGGAAACGACUGCUAAUACCGCAUACGAUCCAACCUCGGCAUCGAGGAUGGAUGAAAGGUGGCCUCUAUUUAUAAGCUAUCACUGAAGGAGGGG